ACGCUGGCGGCGUGGAUAGACAUGCAAGUCGAACGAGUNUCGUUUAGUAGCAAUACUGAGCGAAGCUAGUGGCGAACGGGUGCGUAACACAUGAGUCAUCUGCCCAGAAGUGGGGAAUAGCUCGGCGAAAGCCGGAUUAAUACCGCAUGUGGUCGUAAGACCAAAGCCGGGGCAACCUGGCGCUUUUGGAGGAGCUCGUGGCCUAUCAGCUAGUUGGUGAGGUAACGGCUCACCAAGGCAACGACGGGUAGCUGGUCUGAGAGGACGACCAGCCACACUGGAACUGAGAUACGGUCCAGACACCUACGGGUGGCAGCAGUCGAGAAUUUUUCUCAAUGGGGGAAACCCUGAAGGAGCGACGCCGCGUGGAGGAUGAAUGCUUUCGGGUUGUAAACUCCUGUCAUUUGGGAACAAGACCUUACGUUAACUGCGUGGAGGAUUGAUAGUACCAGAAGAGGAAGAGACGGCUAACUCUGUGCCAGCAGCCGCGGUAAUACAGAGGUCUCGAGCGUUGUUCGGAUUCAUUGGGCGUAAAGGGCGCGU
Molecule: ribosomal RNA, 543 nt
Filed under: uncultured bacterium
Lineage: Bacteria
Description: bacterial SSU rRNA
Rfam family: Bacterial small subunit ribosomal RNA
Source: RNAcentral